RNAcentral lists this ribosomal RNA (460 nucleotides) under uncultured bacterium. Its description in RNAcentral is "partial 16S ribosomal RNA". It matches the Rfam family "Bacterial small subunit ribosomal RNA", at positions 338 to 795 of the family's 1533-position model. The record is from RNAcentral.
CCUACGUGUGGCAGCAGUGAGGAAUAUUGGUCAAUGGGCGCGAGCCUGAACCAGCCAAGUAGCGUGAAGGAUGACUGCCCUACGGGUUGUAAACUUCUUUUAUAAAGGAAUAAAGUGAGGCACGUGUGCCUUUUUGUAUGUACUUUAUGAAUAAGGAUCGGCUAACUCCGUGCCAGCAGCCGCGGUAAUACGGAGGAUCCGAGCGUUAUCCGGAUUUAUUGGGUUUAAAGGGAGCGUAGAUGGGUUGUUAAGUCAGUUGUGAAAGUUUUCGGCUCAACCGUAAAAUUUCAAGUGAUACUGGCAGUCUUGAGUACAGUUGAGGUAGGCGGAAUUCGUGGUGUAGCGGUGAAAUGCUUAGAUAUCACGAAGAACUCCGAUUGCGAAGGCAGCUUACUAAACUGCCACUGACAUUGAUGCUCGAAAGUGUGGGUAUCAAACAGGAUUAGAUACCCUAGUAGUC